This 31-nucleotide non-coding RNA is filed under the name Homo sapiens (human). The record is from RNAcentral. Lineage: Eukaryota; Metazoa; Chordata; Mammalia; Primates; Hominidae.
AUGAAGUAAUACUGCCCAGAUUCAGAGCAGA